RNAcentral lists this ribosomal RNA (454 nucleotides) under uncultured bacterium. Its description in RNAcentral is "bacterial SSU rRNA". It matches the Rfam family "Bacterial small subunit ribosomal RNA", at positions 364 to 832 of the family's 1533-position model. The record is from RNAcentral.
UUCGCAAUGCCCGAAAGGGUGAACGAGCGACGCCGCGUGCGGGAUGAAGGCCUUCGGGUCGUAAACCGCUUUUGUAAGGGAAAAACUUAAUGACGGUACCUUACGAAUAAGAGGUUACUAACUCUGUGCCAGCAGUAGCGGUAAUACAGAGACCUCAAGCGUUAUCCGGAUUUAUUGGGCGUAAAGCGCGCGUAGGUGGGCCGGCACGUUCGUCGCUGAAAGCCCCCGGCUCAACCGGGGAAGCGGCGGGGAUACGACCGGCCUGGAGGGGCGUAGGGGGACCUGGAACUUCCGGUGGAGCGGUGUAAUGCGUUGAGAUCGGAAGGAACGCCCGUGGCGAAAGCGAGGUCCUGGACGCCUGCUGACGCUGAGGCGCGAAAGCCAGGGGAGCGAACGGGAUUAGAUACCCCGGUAGUCCUGGCCGUAAACGAUGGGCACUAAGUAGAGGGGUUUU